Molecule: long non-coding RNA, 779 nt
Organism: Daphnia pulicaria
Lineage: Eukaryota; Metazoa; Arthropoda; Branchiopoda; Diplostraca; Daphniidae
Exons: 2
Source: RefSeq, a predicted model, not a curated record
GAGUGUAGCCUUAAGGUAAUUAAAUGUAAAUUUGUUGUGUGAAGUUAUUACAGAUAACAUAGCUAACCUACAAUUUAUACUUGCAAUUCCAUCUGAUCAUGUGGCAUGAAAUUGAUGUACAUUUUCCCAAAAUGUCGUCGCUUGCUGCAUGUACCAAUUGUACCAUCUCUGGCAUGUACCGACUGUACGUUUCGUCACAUGCAGAAACACUUCAGAACAGUAAAAGUGAUUAUGUUGGUCGACUUCUUAACCCUAAGUUUACUCAUUUAGUUGCUUGAUGACUUUGUUUCUGAUAGUAAAUGAGUUUUUACUUUUCUAUUAACGGUCUGGUGAAGUCUGAGCUUCUUCAUUGCAGUACAACAUGCACAUGGAAUAGUUGCAGCCAGCUGGUGAAAGGUGUUCCUCUUGCAGGAUUAACAGUAAACAGUCUCUUAAGGUCUGAGCCUCUUUGUUAUAGUCCAAUGUGUACAUGAAUUUUGUGCAGUCAGCUAGUGAAUGGUGUGGUGAGCUGUUGCAUGCAGACUGUGGUGCUGGUGUCGUUCGUUCAUUUAACUAUGGACCGAUCAGUCGUUCGCUUAUCGUAAGAAAUCUGUCACUUGUCGUAGGUGUGUAAAAUUGUGUCGACUAGGUGGCAAAGUAGGUUAGCAUUUAGUUCAUGAUGUCGAAGACAAGUGACAUCUUAUUUUGUGUUUCUAAAUAAUAAGUGCUUUUGUGGAAAGUACUUGUAAAGAGUUUUAAACUUUUGUUGAUGAAACAUAACAGAAAUUCCCUUGCUUUUU